ACUGGUUAGGGCUGACUUAUUUUUAAUAUGAUGUGUGGUAGGGAUUCAACCUCAUCUUUUUGCAUGUGGAACUCCAGUGUCCCAGCAACAACUGUUGAAGAGAUUAUGAUUUUCCCAUUGAAUGGCCUUGGCGCCCUUUUUGAAAAAUCAAUGGACCAUAUAUAUUUGGUUUAUUUCUGGACUCUCAAUUCUGUUCCAUUGGUCUGUAUGCUAUCUUUAUGCCAGUACCAUACUGUUUGCUUACUGGAUUUCAAAACUUACUACAGAGUAAGUUUUGAAAUACACAAGUGAAUUCUCCAACUUUGUUCUUUUUCAAGAAUAUUUUGGCUAUGUGGGUCCCCUCACAAAUUCAUAUAAAUGUAAUGUUUGGCUUUUCCACUUCUGCAAAAAAGGCUGUGGAAAUUUUGAGAGGGAUUGUGUUGAAUCUGUAGAUUGCUUUGGGUAGUAUUUACAUUUUAACAAUAUUAAGUCUUCCAGACCAUGAACAUGGGAUGUUUUUUCCACUUAUGUGUGUCUUCUUUAAUUUCUUUCAGCAAUGUGUUGUAGUUUUUGGUAUACAAGUCUUUUACCUUGCUUAUAUUAUUCCUAGGUAUUUUAUAUUUUUGGAUGCAUUUGUAAAUGGAGUUGCUCUCUUAACUUCCUUUUUUGAUUAUUCAUUACUGGUGUAUUGAUUAUUGUGCAUUGACCUUGUGUCCUGCAACAUAACCGAAUUCAUUUAUUAGCUCUAGUAGUUUUUUUUUGAUUCUUAGGGAUUUUUCCUACAUAGGAUCAUGUCAUCUGUCAAUACAGUUUUUCUUCUUUUACGGUUUGGAUGUCCUUUGUUUCUUCUUGCUGAAUUGCUCUGGCUAGAACUUCUGGUACUUUGUUGAAUAGAAGUGGCGCGAGUGAGCACCCUUGUCUUGCUCCUGCUCUUACAGAAAAGCUUUUCAGUCUCUCGCCAUUAUGUUUGCUGUGGGUUUUCGUAGAUCUCCUUUACCGUGCUGAGGAAGUUCCUUUCUAUUCUUAGUUUUCUAAGUGGUCUUGAGAUGAAAGGGUUAAAUGCCUUUUCUCCAUUAAUUGAGUAAUGGUGUUUUUCCCCCUUUUGUUCUAUCAUCGAUUGAUAUUUCUCAUGUUGAAUUAUCCUUGCAUUCAUAGGGCAAAUCCCACUUGGCCAUGAUGUAUAAUCAUCUAGAGAUGCUGUUGGAUUUAGAUUACUUGUAUUUUGUUGAGGUUUAUUAUUAUUUUUUUGUUAUUGUUAUUGAGUUUUGCAUCUGUAUUCAUAAGGGAUAUUGGUCUGAUUUUCUUGUUUUUGGCUUUAGUAUCAGUGUAUUGCUGGCCUUAUAGAAUAGGUUAGGAAGUGUCCCCUCCUCUUCAGUUUGUUGGUAGAGCUUAAGUAGGAUUGGUGUUAAUUCUUCUUUAAAUGUUUAAUAGAGUUCACCAGGGGAAAAACAACAACAAAAAUUCACCAGGGAAGCCACGUAUCCCAUACCAGUUUUGUUUCUUAUUUAUGUUACUUUGGGUAAUAAUUUGUUUGUAGGAAUUUGUCCAUUUCAUCUAAAUUAUCUUACUUGUUGGUGUGCAGUUGUUCACCGUAUUCUCUCAUCCCUUUUAUUUCCUUAAGGUCAGAGGUAAUGUCUCUACUUUCAUUUCUGAUUGUAGUGAUUCGUCUUUUUUUCUUUCAGUCUAGCUAAAGGUCUGUCAAUUUUGUUCAUCUUUUCAGAGAACCAACUUUUACUUUCAUUGACUUUUUGUUUUAUCUCUAAUUUUUAUAAUUUUUUAAAAUCCUCACCCGAGGACAUGUUUGUUUGUUAGCUAUUGAGAGAGAGAACAUCGAUAUGAGAAAUAUCCAUCAGUUGCCUUCGGCCCUCGCCCUGAACCUGCAACCUGGAUAUGUGCCCUGAUAGGAUUUGAACCCACCACCUUUUGGUGUACAGGAUGACAUGCCAAUCAACUGAGCCACACUGGCCAGGCCAUUUCUAUUUUUUAUUUGUUCCUUUCUUCUUCUGUGUUUAGGUUUAGUUUUGCUUUUUUUUUCUCCUUUUUUCUUCAAAAUGUAAAGUGAGGUUACUAAUUUGAUAUCUUUUUUUAAUGUAGACAUUUAUGACUGUGAAUUCUCCUCUGAACACUGCCUUCAUUGCAUUCCAUGGCUUUUGCUCAAUGUGCUUUUUCAUCAAAGGAUACAUUCUUCAUUCAUUGAACAAUAUACCAGAUGGGUUCUAGGUGCUGGGGAUGCAGAGGGGAAUACAAGAGACAGGCAGUAUUUACAUUGUGAUGGAGCUGCCAUUUAGGAUAAGCCAACAUGACAGCAAUUGUUGGUUUCAAAUCCAUAAAAUGGUAGUGUGAUAGAGAAUGGUGGUAACACUACUUUAAUUUUUAAAUUUUAUUUUAAAUAGGUAACAUAUACACAUGGUUUGAAAAUAAAAAAGAUAUUAAAAAGGCCCUGGCUGGUAUGGUUCAAUGGGUUGGAGCGUUGUUGCAUACACUGAAAGGUGGCAGGUUCAAUUCCCAGUCAGUGCACAUGCCUGUGUUACUGGCUCCAUCCCCAGUAGGGUGCUUUCAGGAGGCAGUCAGAUCGAUGAUUCUCAUCAUUAAAGUUUCUAAUUCCCUCUCCUUCCUCUCUCUGAAAUAAAUAACAUU
Molecule: long non-coding RNA, 2616 nt
Organism: Myotis daubentonii (Daubenton's bat)
Lineage: Eukaryota; Metazoa; Chordata; Mammalia; Chiroptera; Vespertilionidae
Source: RefSeq, a predicted model, not a curated record